ACGUACACUCCUGCGGGAGGCAGCAGUGGGGAAUAUUGCACAAUGGGCGCAAGCCUGAUGCAGCCAUGCCGCGUGUAUGAAGAAGGCCUUCGGGUUGUAAAGUACUUUCAGCGGGGAGGAAGGCGAUAAGGUUAAUAACCUUGUCGAUUGACGUUACCCGCAGAAGAAGCACCGGCUAACUCCGUGCCAGCAGCCGCGGUAAUACGGAGGGUGCAAGCGUUAAUCGGAAUUACUGGGCGUAAAGCGCACGCAGGCGGUCUGUCAAGUCGGAUGUGAAAUCCCCAGGCUCAACCUGGGAACUGCAUUCGAAACUGGCAGGCUAGAGUCUUGUAGAGGGGGGUAGAAUUCCAGGUGUAGCGGUGAAAUGCGUAGAGAUCUGGAGGAAUACCGGUGGCGAAGGCGGCCCCCUGGACAAAGACUGACGCUCAGGUGCGAAAGCGUGGGGAGCAAACAGGAUUAGAUACCCCGGUAGUCCCAUGAU
This 481-nucleotide ribosomal RNA is filed under the name uncultured organism. RNAcentral's name for it is "partial 16S ribosomal RNA". It matches the Rfam family "Bacterial small subunit ribosomal RNA", at positions 329 to 801 of the family's 1533-position model. The record is from RNAcentral.